GGGAAAAUGGGGCACAACUCACUUAACUGCCUUGUUUAGUAACAUAAAUUUUGGGUUCAAUUGUGCCCAUCUGUUGAUGAGUGGUACUAAGUGGUAAUUUCAGAGGUUGAAAUGCAAUUGAAAAAAAGUGACUUCUCCAUUAACCUAAAAAGCAGGUUUAGAAAUUAUUGCCCCAAACUUCGACAAUAAGAAAAUGACAUAAGUCCUGAUUUCAAGACUAGUGCUGAGAUUUGGUUAGUUGCCUUCAAAACACUGAUGAAAUUCAUCAUGCUCAUUUUACUUAUGAACAAUCCUUUUGGUUACAAUACAGAAGUGGGACGCCAGUGCAUUUUUCUAAGGUGUUUUAACUCCUUAGUUAGUCUUUUAAUCUUGAGAUUUCUUAAAUCUUUCAUCCACCUACUAACCAAGCCCUACCCAUUUUAGCUCCUGAGUCCACCUGUGGACAAGGAUAGUAUAUUAGACUUCUGAUUUAACUUACAAAGAUCUACUGGGGGAAAAAUCAAAUCAGUGCCAACUGUGUCAAUGCAUAACAACUAAUUCCCCUUACAUGAUAUUUGCACAUGAUCCCUUUCCACCACAUUUUCAUUGUUCAGCUCAAAUCCCUUUUGCUAAAUAUUAAGAGCCUCAAAGUACAGAAGUUUCUCUGAACACGAAGAAAAUAUUUUCUUCUCACCAAUAUGUUAACAUUGACUCCUCUACCUGUGUACACACAUUGGAAAGUAAGUGGAAACAAUUUGGAGACGCCUCAAACCCUGGAAUUAAGCGGCACAUAAAUUGCAACAAUAAAUAUAUAACUGAUCAAAAUUGAGAACUAACUAUAGCCUGCUCCUGAUGUUACCAGCCCAGGAAAACCUUAAAUAUUCUUGAAGAGAGGCAUACCUUUGGGCAUGUGCAGAGUGAUACAAAACUCAAUCUCAGACAUUAGAUACCAAAAGAGCUUCAAGGAUAUUUCAUUUUUUUCUGGGAGAGGGCUGGAUGAUAACUUCCCACAGACUUCUACUCUGAUUGCAAUUAGUGCCUGGAAAUUAUGGCCACUUUAAACCCAAUCCAGAUGAAGGGCACCCAUGCAGGGAAAGUGGCUUGGAUCAAAAGAUGGAAGACUUCUAAAUGCUUAAAAAGCUGCUGCGUAAAAGAUGGAGAGACGCUAACAGUAAAUGGUCUUGAGCUAAAUACAGCUCUUCUAUUUCAGGGUAAGGUAGCUUUCUAUCAAAAAAUGAGUAGGAGAAAAUUAUUUCAUCAAGUAAAUGGUACUAGCUAGUAAGUACAUGAUUUUUCAGCUGCAAAGCUGCAAAGAAGGAUUUGAAUUACCUUUAUAAAUUUCACAUUGACAAGUGGAUUAACCAUAACCAUAAGGAAAUAUUUAAACGGUCUCAUUAUUUCUUUAAAUGUAAAGCCCAUUAAAAACACCUGGGGCUAUUUUAUCCAAAAUAUAUCUGGAUGAAUAACCAUGUCUUAGAGCUAUUGCAUGGGUCUAAAUGGGAUCAGAGGCAGCCAUUCUUAUCCAGAAAGAGAAUUUCACAAAUUGGGGGGAGGGGGGGAAGGACACAGUAGGUAAGGCAGUAACUCUAUGUCAGAGUUUUGGCAAUGUAACUAUUAUGAGAUAAACCCAGGAGCAAUACACAGCACACACGGAACCUUUAGACAAUAGUAGUUUAUAUACAAAAUAUAUACAGAAUAUACAUGCAGGAGAUAAAUUCCCUUACCACUCAGCUCGGACACAAGGAGAGAAAAUGAAAUACAUGAUGAGAGAGAGGAAUGCCCUCUAAUGAACACCUAUACAUAUAGACACCUUGUUGCAUCAGUCUUGCCUUACAUUGCAUCAUAUUACAAAUUACAGUUUACAACCUUUCAUCAGCUGGCAGCUGUUAAAUCCUCAGUACCUUGACGCUCUACUGUGAGUCGACUCCAUGGUUAGAAUUUUGUGUACGGUCUAAGUGGAUGAAAUUAAUUCCAAACGAUCGGUGAUGUUGGUGGGAGAUUUUAAGUCUUUGAGACUUAAGCUUUGAAUUUUGCCUUUAGCUCACAGGCAGCCAGUGCAAUGAUUUAAGGACUGUUGGAAUGGAAUCUCAAAUAGCAGCCCCAUUUAUAUUGUCAUGACUUAGGAAACAGACAGUGACUGAAUGUGAAGAAGCUGUUACAACUUGUGAAAUGUCGACCUCAGGAGAAACAAACUCAAUCAAAUGAAACAAAUCAAACAAAGGCACUAUCUGAAUAGCUGAAGAAGCCAGAUGAGGGUGUCAACAUAAGAUCUACCAGCCUCCACAACCCAGCAAGCAGAGUGAAAUGAAACUGACAUUUCUAUGAAGUUCCUUGCCAAGCACAAAAUGCAUCGCUUGAUUAGAGGUAUUCCUGAGUCAUGAUCCCUUGGAAGCAACUAUCUAUAUAAUCUUUAGCUAUUGUGUGAUACUUGUAUGUGGAUUCUGCUCAUGAAAUUCUGACCUGGAUCUUGGAUCUCUGGACUGGAUUUGGACUACACUUCUGUGUGCUGCCAUUAAAGAAAACCCACUUAAGCAAACUUCUUUCAGAUUCUGUUUUGGCUUGUAAUCUUUAUCUGCUCUUACUUUUUGGGCUUGAGUAAACUAUUUCCCAUAGCAACUUUUUGAGUGAGUGUUUAAUUGGAACCAGAAGCAGGACAAUUAUCAACCAAACUGCUCUUCCACUGUUACAAGAUCUUCUCCAUUAAAACGUUUUUCUAUUAUCUUAUGUAUGAGAUGUAUCAACUUAUUA
This is a long non-coding RNA of Thamnophis elegans (Western terrestrial garter snake), 2727 nucleotides long. RefSeq lists it as uncharacterized. Lineage: Eukaryota; Metazoa; Chordata; Lepidosauria; Squamata; Natricidae. The transcript is spliced from 3 exons. The record is from RefSeq and is a predicted model, not a curated record.